RNAcentral lists this long non-coding RNA (783 nucleotides) under Xyrichtys novacula (pearly razorfish). The record is from RNAcentral. Lineage: Eukaryota; Metazoa; Chordata; Actinopteri; Labriformes; Labridae.
GUUGACAGUUGAGGAAUUCAUGCUGUCUUUUCUAAGACACAGAUCAAGGUUGCUUUUGAAUGCACUAUCAGUUGUUAAAGCCACCGUUUCUUUUUCAGAUGAUUACAUUUUUGUCUCUUGCUCUUUGGUUUCAGACAUUACACGAUGAUCUACUGUCUGGAAAGAUCCGCUCCAACAGAAUGUUCCUUUGGAGGAAUCCCGCCACCUCACUCCGACUAAAGCAGCAUCUUAAGAUAAGGACACUAAGUUGGAGUGAGCAGCGCGUAAGUAAAAAUGCCAUCCAUCAUGAGUAUUUUUACUCUCAGGGGUGUUACAUUUGAAAGGUGUUUACUUUCUGUGUUUUUCUUCAAUAGAUGUUCGAGCUCCUGCGGUUCAUUGAGGUGGCAACAAACAUUUCUAAAAAAAUAAAGAGAGGCGAGAUUCAUCUGCUUGAUUUCGUUUUUGACGUCAUGCUCCCAGAGGUGAGUAGAUCAAACUAUAUAGCUUGCUUUGAAAAUUGAUGAUAUUGUUAAGAGGUUGUUCUUAUUCAUUUGGAAAGCUCAAGAACAACAAUUAACCCAUACUGCAUAACUUCAAUUGUUCACAUUAUUUGACUGUUUUUCAGCUUUUGAUCAAAGCACUGAAGGAGCAUGGCAUCAACCGGUUCAGAGCAGAGCUGAUGAUGGCCUGUGGCAACGUGUUUUAAGACCCCAACCACACCGACGGCAGUGCUGAAUUUUGUAUAUAUAUAUUUUUUUUUACUGUUCACAAUUUUGUUUGGAAAAAAUUAAAGAAAUCUUCAAA